RNAcentral lists this long non-coding RNA (23147 nucleotides) under Homo sapiens (human). RNAcentral describes it as "non-protein coding lnc-ARHGAP26-4:12". The record is from RNAcentral. Lineage: Eukaryota; Metazoa; Chordata; Mammalia; Primates; Hominidae.
AACCCGUGAUUGCUGGGACUGGCUCAAGCUCCACCAGGAGCCGUCGUUCUUUUACAAAGAGGGGUGGAGGUUCCAGUGGAGGCUGUUGUUGCCUUUUUUUUUUUUUUUUUAAUGAAUGGAGGGCGGCGGCGACUGCUGCAGCUGGGCCAGCUGCGCGGGCUGCACCCCCUCCCAGCCUGCGAGAGGAGGAAGCUAGUAGAAGAUUUGUACCAACAAAACCAAGGAGUAAACAACUUGAGAAUAACUGCAUGAGCUCAGGGCUUGGACUGUCAGAUUCCAUUUCUAAGCUUCCAGAAGAGCGACACAUAGACACUGGGGAAGUCAGAGCCUUUGAACUCCAAUGCCAUCCCCGUCACCCACCUCCACCACCAGCACCACCACCGAAUGGCACUUUGGACAAUUUUUCCCUCUCAUGUGACUUUUGUCAUUUCUUACGUCAGUUGGAGCCAGCACCUCUCAAAUCCAUCUUCUAAAACCCAGAAAAUUGUGUGUAACACAUGAUGACUGAAAGGGAGUAGGCUGACCAGUUAAGAGCCUGCCACUGGAAUGGAAGGCUGUGGGAAGGUGAGGGGACGGUGGACAUCAACCGGGAAGAGCUGAAAGAUGGCGUUACCAGAUAAGGAAACUGAGUCUCAGGGAGGUCAAGAGACAUGCCAAAGCACAGCUUGGAAGUGGUCCAAAGAUAGACAACUAACUCAAAAUUGUAUCUUCGCUUUAAUCACUGCUCUGGUGAUAUUUGCAUUAAUGAAAGAGAAAAGAAAGCAUCCCCAACAGAUGGAAAAGGCGGCUCUCUGACUAGUGAAAGGCGGAGUCUCACUUUGUCCCCCAGGCUGGAGUGCAGUGGCGCGAUCUUGGCUUGCUGAAACCUCCGCCUCCCAGGUUCAAGCGAUUCUCCUGCCUCAGCCUCCCAAGUAGCUGGGACUACAGGUGCGUGUCACCAUGCCCAGCUAAUGACAGGGUUUUACUAUGUUGGCCAAGAUGGUCUCGAUCUCUUUUUUUUUUUUUUUUUUUUUUUUUUUUGAGAUGGAGUUUUGCUUUUGUUGCCCAGGCUGGAGUGCAAUGGCAUGAUCUCAGCUCACCGCACCCUCCACCUCCACCUCCCCCUCCCCCUCCCAGGUUCAAGCGAUUCUCCUGCCUCAGCCUUCCCAAAUAGCUGGGAUUAUAGGCAUGUGCCACCAAGCUCCGCUAAUUUUGCAUUUUUAGUAGAGAUGGGGUUUCUCUGUGUGGAUCAGGCUGGUCUGGAACUCCUGACCUCAGGUGAUCCGCCCACCUUGGCCUCCCAAAGUGCUGGGAUUACAGGUGUGAGCCACCGCGCCCGGCCAAAGGACUGCUGCCUCCUCCUCAGGGAAUCGAACCCCAGUCUCCCGCGUGACAGGCGGGGAUACUCACCACUAUACUGAUGAGGACGACAGUCUUGAUCUCUUGAUGUCGUGAUCUUCCCGCUUCGGCCUCCCAGAGUGCUGGGAUUGCAGGCAUGAGCCACCGCACCCAGCCUCCAAAUUACCUUUUUAAACAAGCUUUUUCUUAUAAAAUGUUCACUGUAAUCUAUUAAAAGUAAAAGGCAAAAUACAAGUUAAUGUUAACGUUUUGAUCAAAAUUAUUUCAAAACUAAAGAAAUAACAUUUUGAAAAUUUAAUCUUAGUUUUACUUCAAUGAGAUAUUUAAUACCUGAAAUUCCAGUGCUUAAUGUCCAUUUAAUUUCCAAAGAAAAGAAUUGGCAUUGGCUGGUGCAGUGGCUCGUACCUGUGAUCCUAGCAUUUUGGGAGGCAGAGGCAGGCAGACUGCUUGAGCUAGGAGAUCAGCCUGGGCAACGUGGUGAAACCCUGACUCUAACAAAAAUACAAAACUUAAUCGGGCAUGGUGGUGAGCGCCUGUAGUCGCAGCUACUUGGGAGGCUGAGGUGGGAGGAUCACUUGAGUCCAGCAAAAAAAAAAAAAAAAAAUCGGUGUUAUUGGUAUUAUGCAUCCUUCAAGUUUUAUUUUAUAAAUAUAUUUCCCAUAUCUAUGUGAGAUAAUGUAUCUGCAUUUAUGAUACAUAUGUAUGCAAUGUGAUAUAAUUUUGCAAAAUAUCCCUCUGCCACCAUGUGCAACUGGUGCUAAUUUAGUAGCACUGAUUUGUGAGUCCUCUGGAACCAUGAAUAGGAACAGAAGCAAAAAAAUGGAUAUUCAGUUCUCCUGAAUAUCCUAUUCAUGCUCCUAUUCAUUUUGCAAGAAUGUAUUGCAUUUGUGCUGAGAGGAAGGAUUUGACAAGCUAAUUUGUCUUUUCUUUUCCCUAAGUGCUCUACCACUCCAAUCCUUCCCACACUCCACUGCAGCAUUGGUCUCUGGUGUUGGCAGUGGCAUAAUCCACAAACCUUCUUAUUUAGACACAGUUACCUUUUGUUUUGAGGGGACAGGGGAAGAGGUGUGAAGUGUUUCUCUGGGGCCUGACUGGUGUUAGGUGUUACUUGUGCUAGGUGUUACUUGUGACAACAUCAUGCCGUGUGACCCUCGAUGACAGAGGUGCCCACGUGUUGUUUAACUUUUACGCAUGUGUUUGAAAUAGGUGGGACCCUGAAGCACAGGGCCCAGGGCAGGGGCCUCUCUUGUCUGGUUCUAAGGGCAGUACUCUUGUUUUCCAGAAACCCUCAGUAGGCUUCCUUUUACAUUUCAUUAGAUAGAAUUAAUCACUGCCAGAAAGAAGGUAAAUUUCUGUAACUUCCUUCUGCCAAUCAUGAGUCAUUCUCUGGGAUGAGCACAUGGUCUCUGGACAAAAUUGGGGUUCUGUUAGUGAGGAAGAAGAAAUGGCUGGACAGUCAACCAGUGAUAUCUCCACAAUUAUUAUUCCCAUUUUUUUGAAGGGGAAAUUGAAGCUUAGAAUGGUUAAGGUUGUAUACCUGGAAGUGGUGGAACUGUGGUUUGAACCAAGGAAGGUUGGCUAAGGAAUCUAACUUAACCACUCUACUUGCUGUUUCCCAUGGCUGAGGAGCAGGAGUUAGCUGUACUGGAGUUUGAGAAAAUCCCAGGCAGAGGAAAUAGCAUGUGCUGCAGCCCAGAGAAGCAAGGGGUGGCAUGGUCUCACUGCAGAUUGAGAGAUGCCGAGUGACUCAAGUCUGUUGUGUGAGGGGAGUGCUGGGAGAUGAGGCUGGAGAGGGUGUGCAUCUGGGGCUGCUGAGUGGAGAUGGGAGGGGACAAGAUUGGGAAUGGCAUGGGCUGGAAGACUGUUGAAAGAUUUUACUAGGGAAGAGAUCCAGGUAACCUGAAAUAGGAGAGGCAGAAGGGAAGGCAUGCAAUCAAGAGAGAUUUAGAAAGCAGAAUUGGGAUUUGAUGAUAUGAAGGUGGAGGAGAAUCACCUGAGUUUAUGGCUUGGAAAUGGGUUACCAUUCAGAAACAGAAGGCAGUGUUACCAGUGGAAGGUCUUGACCAUGAGUUGUCCAGGUUCUUGGCAUUUUGAACAAAGAAUUGGACAACACACACAAAGCAAUGAAAGAAUGAAGCAAUGAAAGCACAGAUUUAUUGAAAUGCAAGUACACUCCACAGAGUGGGAGUGGGCUGGAGCAAGCCCUGGUUACAGAAUUUUCUGGGGUUUAAAUACUCUCUAGAGGUUUCCCAUCGGUUACUUGGCUACAACCUAUGUCAAUGAAGACUUGGUCCAUGACCAGUCUGUUUGGUUGUGGGAGGUGACCAAUUAGAGGCUGAAGUGAAGUUACAGAGUUACAACCUAUGCAAAUGAAGACUUGGCCAGGGACCAGUCUGAUUGGUUGUGGGAGGGGACCAAUCAGAGGUGCUUUCCAUUUUUCAUUUGCAAUGCAGAAAGGGGGUGGGGUUGCAAAAGGAGUAGCCUCUGAUCCUUUUGUUACUUGGGCGUAGAGAGGUAAGAUUUUCCUUUUGAUUCAGUUCUAGGAAGUCAGCACAAAUCAGCCUUAGGUUCCCUACCUUCAGACCCUAUUCUCCUGCCUUAACAGUACCAGGUGAGGGCAUAGGGGAGAAGGAGUCCACUUUUUAUUUUUUGAGUCUCAUUUUGGACAUGUUGAGUUCAAGGACAUAGAGUGGAGCUGUCCUGUAAACAUUAGAGUCUGAAACUCAGGAGAGACAUCUGGACUAGAGAGAAAUGUGGGCUGCUUCAACACGUAGAACCCCUGGGUUCCAUGGUGGGUGAGAGUGUGUAACACAUGAAAAGAGAGUCUAGGACAGAGCCGUGUUUAAGGAAAGGAGGCCCACAGAGGAAACCGAGAAGACAUGCCUCACAUAGAAGAAGCCAGGAGAAUUUGGUGACACUAACACUGAGGAAAGGGAGUUUUAAGCAGGAAAGAAAGAUAAGGCCUGAGAAGUACCACAAAGGUCAUUGAUGAUGACAGCAAGAGUGUGACAGCCAGAUAACAGAAGGUUGAUGGGAAUGUAGCUCCUUCAUUCAAGAUAUUAAAUAUGAAGGGAAGGGUAUGUGAGGAUCCAGGAAAGCUUUUUUUUUAAAAAAAACAAAACAAAACAAAACAAAAACCAUGCAGGAAGAUUGGAGCAUGUUAAAUUGCUUCUGAGAGGUAGACUUCUGGUAGAACAGAAGUUGAAGAUAGAGACGAGGUGGGUAGUGGAAAGUGUGAGGACCUGAGAAGGUGGGGAAGAGUAUGGGAUCCUGACUCAGAUAGAAAGAGGACUCCCAUUGGAACAGGUAGAGUAGAGACCAGGAGAAUGGGUGGGACUGGGACAUUGAGGAACUUCCUUUAAGAUGGUUUGUUUCCUAUAUAAAGUAGCUGCAAGAGAGGGAGUGGUGGGUCAGAUGUUUAGGGAAGUUGAAUUGCAAUUGUCUCCUGUAAGGACAGGAGAGCUGAGUGGGGAGCAGGGCUGGCUUCAUGAGUGGGCAGCUUGAGCAGUCGCACGGGUCCCUACACUUAAAAGGGCUUCUUGCUUUGUAUAAUGCUCUGGCAUCACUGUCUUGAAAUUGUUAAUGAUUUUUGAACACAGGCCGCUUCAUUUUCAUAUUUGUUUUGAGUGUAAGUGUGUCCCAUGCAAUAUCUGGGACAUACUGAGAUUAACAGUUACUCACAGCUGGGCACGGUAGCUCACGCCCGUAAUCCCAGCACUUUGGGAGGCCAAGGUGGGUGGAUCCCCUGAGGUCAGGAGUUUGAGACCAGCCUGGCCAACAUAGCGAAACCCCAUCUCUACUAAAAAUACAAAAAAAUAGCUGGGCGUGGUGGCGGGCGCCUGUAAUCCCAGCUACUCAGGAGGCUGAGGCAGGAGAAUCGCUUGAACCCAGGACACAGAGGCUGCAGUGAGCUGAAAUCGUGCCAUUGCACUUCAGCCUGGGCAACAAGAGCAAAACUCAGUUUCAAACAAACAAACCAAUUACUCUUUAUCUGGAAUUCCAAUUCGGUAUCCUGUAUUUUAUCUGGCAACCCUAACUGGGCGCUACAAAUUAUGUAGCUGGUGCUGCUGGGAAGACAGGAGAAUUGCAAAGUGGUGUCACAGGCCCUGGGGAGGUUUCCUCUGUGAAGUAUCUGAGAGUGGGGAAGUGAUGGGUGUAGAGAUUGGACUUGUGGCUCUAAGUUGUGGGGCUGUGGAAUGGUCUCCAGCAGGGCCAGCCACCUGAAUGUCUAGACAGUGCAGGAAAGGCAGGUGGCUUAGAAUAUCUGGGUUGUCUCCAGAUAUCUCACUUGGGUGAGACCGAAAGCCCUUACCUUGGUUGGUGAGGCCCUGCCGUCCCUCUCACCCUUGCAUAUAGCAGCCCGCUGCUCUGCUGGCUCUUCUGCAAACACCCUUUGCUCCCUUAGUCUCAGGGCCUCUGCUCUGGCGGUUCUCUCUGCCUGGAAUGUUCUUCCUGUAGUAUCCCCAAGGCUCAUGCCCCUUGUUCCCCCUGGGAACCUGAGAGGCCUUCCCUGAUUACUUUAUUACUUCCUGCUCCAUCUUUCUUUAUGUCACUUCCCACCUCCUGACAUAUUAUAUAUGUGUAUUUUCUGUCUCUUUCCAUUAAAAUGAAAGUACUGUGAGAAUGAGAGGUUGGUCUUGCUCACUGUUGUUGAACUGAUAUGUAAAAUAAUGAUACAUGGGCCAGGCAAAGUGGCUCACACCUAUAACCACCACUUUGGGAGGCCGAGUUAGGUGGAUCACCUGAGGUCAGGAGUUCAAGACCAGCCUGGGCAACAUGGUGAAACCCCAUCUCUACUAAAAAUACAAAAAUUAGCCAGGGGUGGUGGUGGGUGCCUGUAAUCCCAGAUACUUGGGAGGCUAAAGCAGAGAAUUGCUUGAACCCAGGAGACGGAGGUUGCAGUGAGCUGAGAUCACGCCACUGGACUCCAGCCUGGGCAACAGAGCGAGACACCGUCUCAAAAAAAAAAAUUAGUUGGGCAUGGUGAUGUGUGCCUGUAGAACCAGCUACUCGGGAGGAUUGCUGGAGCCCAGGAGUUGGAGGCUGCAGUGAGCUACGAUUGUGCCACUGCACUCCAGCCUGGGUGACAGACUGAGACUCUGCCUCUUAGAAAAUUAAAAAAAAAACAAAAAACAACAACAACAAAAAAAUUAUUACCUAGAUUUUGGUAGUAGUAUUUGGGCAUUUCUAGUGAAUGUUAGCUAAUAACUCACUUUGCCUGGGUGACAGAGUAACCCAGCCCUGUGGCAUCACUCAUGCUUACCACUGCCAAUGAAUGUCUGUGCCAAAAAUCAGAUUUGAUCUUAAAGCAGGAGAGAUUUGUUUAGGUGGAAAUCCGUUUUUGGUUUCCUUUCCAUUAUCGCUCAUUCCGUCUGGGAAGAGAACACCUUUUCUUGUGGAGUUGGAUGGGGCUGACCUUUGCCCUGUGUCCUUAAGAGUAGGCAGGUGGUCUGAGUCAGUUGAGUCCUUCCUGGUACUUCUCUGCCAGAGUUGUUGGGGAAGAUGGUCUAUUUCUGCUGGACCUGGUAGGAUGUGAAUGUGAGGCUGUUGAUUAAUAUCCUGCUCACUAAGUGGAGAAAGGGCAGGGAGAGCUGAUGUUUGAGGCCUUAGAUCCAGCCACUCCCUAGUGACAUGAGCUAAUGAAUUCUUUUUUUUUUUUUUAACUUAUGCCAGAUUGACUUUAGUUUCUGUCACUCACAGCUGAGCAAGCUCUGACCCAUACAUGUUAUGUUGCUCAGGCUGUAAUGCAGUGGCUAUUCAUAGACAUGAUCAGAUCAUAGUGCACUGCAGCCUUGAACUCCGGGGCUCAAGCAAUCCUCUUGUCUCAGCCUCUCAAGUAGCUGGGACUAUAGGCACACGUCACUGCACCCAGCCCACACAAUUUCGAUUGAAAAAUUAGAACAACUUGACCUGUGAGAUAAUAGUAGAAGAUUAGACAGUUAACUGAAUUAAUGAGUUGUGAGAGGAGCUUCUCCUGAUUUCCCUGAUUCUUUUUAUUAUGGGAGUGGGAGCAGGGGCAGAGGGUAGAGAUGGGGAUGAAUGAAGGAGACUAAAGUGAGCCCACAGGUGUGGCCUUUGCCAGAUGGCGGUGGGGAUGCUGGGGCCCCAGUUCCUUCCCAGCUGUGGCUCGCUGGCAAUGGCUGAGGAGCCUGGGGUCAGCAGGCAGCUGGAUUGGAGAGAGCUCUCCACUGUAAGCCAGCUCCGGGCUCCUGUCCUGUUUCUGUGUCUGCCUUGGGGCACAUCUUCAAUUUCCUGAGCCCUUGCUUUCCAUUUCCUAAAGUGGGAGCGCUGACAGCGCCCUGCCGACCUCCGAGUUUGUGAGAGAGCCUCCCAGGAGCUGAUGAGAAUCUCUGAAACCAUCGUGAGAACUAUCAGGACUCUAUAGCUGUAAGGUCGUUUGUCUCUCUCAUUUGAUUGAAGGCUGGGCUAGACAAGUGCUAGGAAGACCCUCAGGACUUGGGCUGGGAUCUGACCUUCAUGAAUUGCAGACUAUAGACCUUAGGUAAAAAGUGGGCAAGAAGAGGCCGGGCGCGGUGGCUCACGCCUGUAAUCCCAGCACUUUGGGAGGCGAGGCGGGCGGAUCACGAGGUCAGGAGAUGAAGACCAUCCUGGCUAACGCAGUGAAACCCCGUCUCUACUAAAAAUACAAAAAAUUAGCCGAGCAUGGUGGCGGGCGCCUGUAGUCCCAGCUACUCCAGAGGCUGAGGCAGGAGAAUGGCGUGAACCCGGGAGGCGGAGCUUGCAGUGAGCUGAGAUCACACCACUGCACUCCAGCCUGGGCGACAGAGCGAGACUCUGUCUCUAAAAAAAAAAAAAAAAGUGGGCAAGAGGAAGCCUAAAAUGUAUGGCCCAUGGCCUGAAAGUUCUCAGGGGUCAUGGAUGAGGAUGUGAAAGAAGUUUGCUGGGCAGGGCAGUCUCUGGCCUGGGGCAGGUUUCUGGCUGGAGUAGUUAAUUCAGUGCCUUUUACUUGUUAGAAAGACAGAAAGAUACUUUUUCCCCUCUUUCUUUUAAAAAGUAAUAGGGUUUUCUGAAUACAAAAGAGUCACAUAUCUAUUUAAGAAUUUUGGGCUGGGCACCGUGGCUCACGCAUAUAAUCCCAGCACUUUGGGAGGCAGAGGUGGGUAGAUCUCCCAGGAGUUCCAGACCAGCCCAGGCAACAUGGCGAAACCCCCUCUCUACAGCAAAUACAGAAAUUCGCUGUGCAUGGUGGCACACGCCUGUAGUCCCAGCUACUCGGGAGGCUAAGACCAGAAGAUGACUUGAGCCCAGGAGGUCAAGGCUGCAGUGAGCUGUGUUCACACCACUGCACUCCAGCCUGUGUGACAGAGCGAGACCCUGUCUCAAACAAAAAAAGAACUUUGAAAAUAAAAAGACGUGUAAGGAAAUCAAAACCACUCAUGAUUAUCCAACUCUCAUAAAUAACACUGGUAAUAUUUUUGUCUAUCUCCUGGUAUUUACUUCAUUGUGCCUAUGUGUCAUGUAUAUGAGAGAUGGCUUACAAAAUUUGAUAUGUACAGCUUCAGAAUCUGUUUUGUACAUAAUGUAAACAUCUUCCUGUAUCUUUAGAUUUUUCUUACAGCCUGAUUUUUAGUUGUUAUGUAACAGUUUUAACUGUUCUGCCAUAUAUAAUAUAUUCCUUUUAUUGGAUAGAAGACUUUCCAAUUUUUUAGCAUUAUAAAAUCAUAUUGUGGUUAAAUCUUUACAGAUAAAUCUUUGUGCAUGUGGAAUUACAGGGUCGAAUGGGAUGUCCAUGUAAGAAUUUUUGUAUGCUCUAAUUGACCUAAAGAAAUGCUAAUUUGCCUUCCUAUUGUUGUGUGAGGGGGCAUAAUGAUUCUCUGAAUCCUGGCCCUUGCUGGGUAUUAUUGGAUUUUUAGGACUUCGCCAAAUGCUAGAUGGGAGAAGCUUUGCUUUUUUUAAUUUUUUUUUUAUACAGGUCUUGCUCUGUCGCCUAGGCUGGAGGGCAGUGGUACAAUAAUAGCUCACUGCAGCUUUGAACUCCUGGGCUCAAGCUAUCCUCCUGCCUCAGCCUCCUGAGUAGCUGGGACUGCAGGCAUGCCACUAUGUCUGGCUAAAUUUUUAUUUUUGUAGAGACGGGGCCUCACUAUGUUGCCCAGGCUGGUUUCGAACUUCUGGUCUUGAGCAAUCCUCCCACUUCGGCUUCCCAAAGUGUCGGCAUUACAGGUGUGAGGCACCAUGCCUGGCCUUGUUUUUAUUUUAUUAUGCCUUUUUUUCUGGUUCCCAGUAAGGUCAUUUUUUUCCCCCAUAUAAUUAAUAGCUAUUUUUAUGUUUUUGUGAAUUGAUUUACGUAUCCUUUAUUCAUUUUCCUAUUGGGGUGCUUGUAUUUUUCUUACUGAUUUAUGCAGACUCUGUAAUAAAAAUAUUAACCCUUUGUGGGGAUCAAUACAUUUUUAAUAGUGUGAUGAAAUAUUUUAAUAAUGGAUCAAAGCAGAAGGCUUGAUUCCAGGGGAAAAAUUUUUUAAGCUACCCGCCUCUUUCCCUACACAUAAAUCCAGAGAUAAGUAGUAUCUUAGUACUUAAACAUGUCUUAAAGCAUGGACAGGCUCCCUUCCUUCCUUCCUUCCUUCCUUCCUUCCUUCCUUCCUUCCUUCCUUCCUUCCUUCCUUCCUCUCUUCUUCUCUCUCCUCCUUUCUGUCCUCAUUUCUCUCCUCCUUUCUCUUUCUCUCCUUCUUCCUCUUUCUCUCCUCUCUUUCUUUCUUUCUCCCUCUCUUUCUCUCUUUCUCUCUCUUCCUCUUUUUCUCUCUUUCUGUUUCUCUCUCUCUCCCUCUCUCUUUCUCUCUCUCUCUUUCUUUAUUUUUUUUAUUUUUUAUUUUUUUGAUGGAGUCUCGCUCUGUCUCCCAGGCUGGAGUGCAGUAGCACGAUCUCUGCUCACUGCAACCUCCAUCUCCCAGCUUCAAGCUAUUCUCCUGCCUCAGCCUCCCGAGUAGCUGGGAUUACAGACGUGUGCCACCACGCCUGACUAAUUUGUGUAUUUUUAGUAGAGAUGGGGUUUUGUCACAUUAGCCAGGCUGGCCUCAAACUCCUGACCUCAGGUGAUCCGCCUGCAUCGGCCUCCCAAAGUGUUGGGAUUACAGGCGUGAGCCACCGUGCCUGGCCAUUACCUUUGUUUCAUGGGUGAGUUAGUCUGGCAACUAGACUAGGGCAACCCACCCACCCCACCCCUAGAGCUGGUCACAGGCACAGCUGAGCUUGAACUUGGGCUUCACACGUGUGUUUACACGCACCACUUGUCAUUGCCUGUGACUUUCCUGUCCCUGCUCCUCCUCUUUCAAACACUCCCUGGAGCCAUUUAGUGCCUAGAUGAUGCGUGUUUUUAUACCAGCCACUCUACUCGAAAGCAAAAUCUGUUUGAAAGCUGUGUUACAGGUUUUUCCAGAACUUCCAGUUUUUAAGAAUCUCUUCCCCUUGCUGCAGCUUCCUUUGUACCAUGCAGCCACUGGCUCCAAAGGGACCUUCUACCAGGGAAUUUGAUUACUUGGAUAGAGCCCUUCUGUCGACCACUGACCUCAGGGCUAGCUCCCCAAAACGUCGCCUUCUCUACGCUCGUUUCUGCAAAGUAGCAACAGGUCAGUUAGGAUGUGGAUUUUCUUGCUCUCUCAAAGGUUCUUUUAUUUAAAUAUGUUCAUACAUUUUUCUCCUACCGCUCUCUUUCCUGAAAGAAUGAAGUUAGAGGAUUAGGUUGCUAAGUUUAGCUCUUGCUGACGCACUGGCCUCUCACUAGCAGUCUCCUCGUGUCUCAGUGUUUCUUUAAGCCUCGCUUUUUUGCUGGUAGACGCACACCAUCACAUCCUACAUAAUAUUUAGCUCUGAGGCGUUUCCAGAUGGGAAGUGCGUUUCUGUAUUUUCAUAGCCGUGUUCUCUACGUGAAUGGACUGGCGUGAAGCUGGGGGCUGACGGCUGGCAGGGCAGGUAGGGAGGCUGGCAGCGGCCUGAGAGAGGUGAAGAUCCCCGGGGUGGUGGCGGGGAAAGCAAUGCAGUCCUUGUCAGAUGUUUGCUUGCUGUGAGGAGAGGGAGAUGGCUAUGAGAGGAGAUCUGGGGAUGGUAUUUGACUGGGAUAUGAAUGGAGCAUUUUCAGGCAGGGGAGGCCCUCCUACUUGAAGCAAGCCUGAGUGUUGUUAAAGAAAAAAAUUAUUCUGGCACUUGUAAAAAUGGUAAGGAAGACUUUAGUCAGGAGUCUUGCAACAGGGUUAUUGCAAUAGGGGAGAGAGAUGGGGCUCAACUCUAAAUGCAGCAAGACAGUUGAGGAUUUACAGCUAAGAAACAGAGAAGAGGGGGUCAGUGGAUGGAAAGUUACUAAGAGGAGACAUCAAGGGAACGGGAUUCUCACUAAACAGACCUAAAAGGACUCUUGCUAAGGGCAGGCCAAGGACUUACACACCCAAGGUAGGGGAUGAAGCGCUUUAUCAGGCAUCAAGGGUAGGGGACUCCCUAAACUGAAUUUGCAGGAUUCUUGCUAAGACUGGGCUCUGCAGGCCUGGCAAGGACAGGAGGGACACAGAAGGCCAACGUUCAGAAGAAGGCUCAGAAGAGCCUAACUAAAGUUUGGUCAAAGAAAGGGUUUUUGUCAGUGCUUCCUCUCGUUCAAGGAAAGAAAAAUUCUUCUUUUCUCUGAGUAAUAUAGGUCAAUUUUUUGUUCGGUCGCCUUUUGUUCAUUAAGGACCAGCUUGAAUGUCUGUUGGGGCCUGGCGGUAGAGGAUACUUGAUGGACAACCAUCAGGCAUUUAAACGAGGGAGAUUCAUGGUCUGCUGUGGUGAUGGGUCCUUUGAAGUUUAUGUCAAGUCACCCAGCUUGCAAGCCUAGUUUAGAUCUUGGGGGGAAGAUCAGCUAUAAGACAGCCUAGAGUUGCAAUGAGGAUUUGGGCAGUCAGCCUUUAGCUCUCAGUGACAUCAGGAGGGUGGGAGAAAACGUAAAAAGUAGAAAAAUUGAGAAGUUGGUAAGAACUGAUGAAAUGUGCAGAAUGGCAAAUCCAGUCCAAUUCACAGUAGGUAACAAAGUAAACAGUAAAAUGUAAUUUAUCAAGAGGUGAAAAAAGCUCAAAGGCAAUGAACGGGACUAGAAUUCGAUAAUCUGCAAGGAUGUGCUAUAGUUUUCUAUUGAAAUACAAACAAGCACUGGUCCCUGGAUGGGCGUGUUGAAAUGUCAGCAUGGAGGGUGGCCUGGUGUUAGACAGGUCUCGGUUCAAAUCCCAUCACCUUGCCGGAGAUGCUGGGCAGAUUGGUUGCUCUCCUAGUGUCUGUUUCUUUAGCUGUGAGACAUAAUGAAAGCUAACAUUUAUUAUUUCUCAUGUGCCAGGCACUGCCAUAAGCAUUUCACAUGCUUUACCUCGUUUAAUCCUCACAACUUAGUGAAGCAGGUUAAUCAUCAUCUCCAUUUCGCAGAAGAGUAAACUGAGGCUUUAAUAUAUCCUAUAAUAUGUCCACAGAUGUUGCUAACCUGCAAGUAGAGAUUGAAGCUCAUGUACUUAAAAUGAGUUUGGCACUUUUCAGGUACCUGAUAAAUGUAAAACAUUUUUUUCCUCCAAAGUAUAUGUGGGAAAACUGAAGCUAUAGAGUGUGCCUGAGCCCAGCCAGAUUCAGUAGGCGGGGCUCUCCCCCAAAAAGGGAAAAUCCUGAGACACUCAUCAGUGGAGGGAUGGAGCCUACUGUGAGGGUUCUGGCAGAGCCCCUGCGUUUUGUCCUCUGGGGGCAGCUCUCCUGGGAGUUGGAGAGAGGCUUUGACCCAGCCUUUGCUGGCCACUGGGCAGGACCUAGCUGGGAGCAAGUGCCAGGGCCAGCAGAGGCUUGUCCAGAGAUGACUCUCGCUGGCUGUGCUGUGUUUGCUGUGUGCCUGGUAGGCACGCAUCUCAGUUAUUCUCACAUCUCUGCAGUAGGUAUCCUUCACCUUCCCAUGCAGAUGGAAUUGAAGCUCCAAGAGGGUAACCAACCGCCCAGACACAUUUGAAGUAGUGAGGCAGGGAUUUGAGCCCAGGUCUGGUCCCUGAGCCCAUGCUCUCUGUUCUGCUGUGCACCUUGGGUGAUCAGGGAAGCAGACCCAAGCUAGGGAAGAAGUCAUGUGGGCAGGGCUGAGGCACUGGAACAGAGUGGGUAACGCAGGAUCUUGGGAAUCUGACACACUGGGGUUCAAAUCCUGGCUCUGCCACUUCGUAGCUCUGUGAGCUUGGAAGUGACUUAAUUUCUCUGAUCCUUGGGUCCCCAUCUAUAAAAGAGGAGAGCCAUAACUACCCAGAGAGUGUAAGGAUGACAUGAGAAUGUAUAUAGAGCCUUGGCAUGGGCCCUGGGGUGUGAUGAGCAUUCAGUAAAUGCUGGCUGCUGUGGGCACAUGGGAAUUGCUGGGCACUUUCUCAUCCACUUGAUCUCCUUGGCUCUUAGGGAAGGCAGACGCUGGACGGCAGGUCUCUCAGACACAGGAGAGACCCUUAGCUUUAUUUAUCCACCCUGGGAUGUAUCCCUGGGAGCUGUGUAUCAAAAUUAUAGCCACUGAAGGUUGGAAGGACAAAGGGGAGGCUAGGCCUGGAUAUAGCAUCUUUACAGUGGUCCAACUUCCCUCUUGCUGGUGAUGUCCAAAGAGAAAGGCCAGCACAGCGGCUCAGAUGGGCGUAGCGGGACUGCCUGGAGGAGCCUAUGCAGUGGGCUUGGGCAGGGUCCAGAGUUACUGGUGGCGGGGGUGGACGCUGUCAGUGUCUCCCCCAGACUCCACUGAACCUUUUAUAUCAGGUGCCCUAGAGUAGCACCUGUUUACCUAGACCUGCCUUCCAGAGACACUGUCUCCCCACCUUGUGAGCUCCUGGCUGCCAUGACCUCCGCACUUGCCCUGAGAGGCUGUGAGGAUGAAAUGCUGAUGUACAUGAAGCUCUUAGCCUAAUACUUCACAUUCAGCGAGCGCCCACCUUCUGACUGUGGCCAUUAAUUUGUGGAUUCAAGUAAUGUUUUAGGUUGAGAGGUCAUAGUUAUGAAGAAAACAGUCCCCACCCUCAUGGAGGUCACACGCUAGUAGGGAAGAUGGAUGAGAAACAUGUAAGCAAGUAGAUUUGAUUGUAAUAUUGGAGUGAAGAACAGUAAAGCAGGGAGAGGGAACAAAGACAUCGUUGGUGUGGCUGGGAAGGAAGGCUUUUAUUGGGAGAUAACAAGUGAGCAGAGACCCUGGGGAUAUGGAGGUGCCAAUCAUGAGAAUGUUGGGGGAGGCCAGGUGCGGUGGCUCAUGCCUGUAAUCCCAGCACUUUGGGAGGCCGAGGCGGGUGGAUCACUUGAGGUCAGGAGUUCGAGACCAGCCUGGCCAACAUGGUGAAACCCUGUUUCUACUAAAAAUACAAAAAUUAGCCAGGUGUGGUGGUAUGCCUGUAAUCCCAGCUACUGGGGAGACUGAGGCAGGAGAAUCACUUGAACCCAGGAGGCAGAGGCUGCAGUGAGCGGAUAUCAUACCACUGCACUCCAGCCUGGGCGACAGAGCAGGACUCUAUCUAGACAGACAGACAGGUAGGUAGAUAGAAUUAAUGUUGGGGAGCAUCCCAGCAGAGCCUCCAGGUGGGACUGAAUCUGGUACAACAAGACAGAGAGGAGGGAUAACUAGGAAAUGAAGCCAGGGUGGAGGCUACCAGGUCACAUAGGACCUUAUUGUUUUCAACAAUCAUUAUUUCUAGAUGUCGCUGGGCAGGAUCAGCUGUUCCUUCUCUUGUGCUAUUCUGCGUGGUAUGCACACAGCCAUUGUAGCAAGUCACCCUUUGUUAGGACUGUGUAUUUUACCACCACACUGGGAGCUCUGGAGGCCAGGGACUAUGGCUGUUUUGCAUAUACCCAGCACCUAGCAUGGGAACUGUUUAUCGAAAUUAUAGCCACUGAAGGUUGGAAGGACGAGGGGGCAACCAGGCCUGGGUAUGGUAUCCUUAGAGUGGUCCAACUUCCCUCUUCCUGGUGAUGUCCAAAGAGGAAGGAGCAUGGAGUCUGUGCUUCACACAUUUAAAGAUAAUGAAUCUUAGUGGCAAUGGAUGCUGUCUAUUGGGGGUUUCUGUGUGCUAUCCACAGCAGUUAGCAUUUUAUAUUUCAUUGUCUCAUUGAAUCAAUACAAUAGGCUUGGCCCCAAAGUGUCAUCUCCAUUUUACGGAUGAAGAAAUAAGCUGUAGAGGCCGUCCCAUGCCCCAAGCACACACAGCUAGGAACUUGCUGAGCUGAGAUUUGAAGCCAGGACUCUAAGGACCACACUUUCAACUCUGACCAAGCUGGAAGGUCGACUGCCUCCGGCAGGGGCUUGGCCCAGGCCUGCCCUUCCAAGGGCUGUGGUGUUUACUGCCGAGGGUUUUGGCAUCCUUCGGCCUUCUUGGUCCCUCAGGGGUCACCUUGCACCCCAGCCUUCCCUGUAGUAUCCCACGGAGCCUGAGGGGCUGUCCCUCAGACUUCCUCACAGCUUUGUAAUCCACAAAUGGAAAAGUGGCACUUAAAAUGAAUUUAUUCAGGUGGGAGCUGUGUAAGACAUGAAAAUAAGGCUUUUGAGCUCCUCCACAUAAACUUGAGUGUAAAUGAAAAGCUUUUUAUUUGGUUUCUGAGCCAGACUUUGAGAAGCCAGUGGUCCGUGCGGUCUGGAAGCGCAUGUUAUGGGCGCUGGGUCGGAACAGGGGCCACUUUGAAUGGCAAGGAGGGAGAAUCGCUCCAGCGAAGCUGGAACGGCCAAGAAGCUGGGAUGUCAAUAAACACAGGCAGGACACAGAAAGCCUUUUCCGAAGAGAUGGAAGGCGGGGAAGCGAAGGAAAGGCAGUGCCUCACUCCCGGUGCAUUUGAGAAGGAAAAUGCUUGAGGUAACCCGUGUUGGCAGCUUUUAUAGCUUCCUCUCGAUAAUGUGCUGGGCAGACCCUGAACAGGCUGGUGUUUUAUUUUCGUGUAACGAAGCCGAGUGGACCAGGGGCAGCUCUCCAGCAAUGGCUGGCCUGGGGCUGUGCUCACGGAGAGAGGCAGGGCUACCUGAGACCUGGGGCAGGGGCCAGCCUCCUGCCUGCUGGGCAAACUGUGGGGAAGGCGGGGACCAGGAUUUCUGACUUCCUCUGGAUGAUGUUUGGUUUGUCACAAUCCUUAGACGUAAGGCCCCUUUAUGUCCAGUGCCAGUGAGGGAGGUGGCAGGCAGCCGUGGGAAGGCAACUGCUCUGAGAAGGAGGGCACAGGUCCACGCUGUCUAAAUGUUACUGGUUGUGAACUACACAGGAACCUUAGCAUGGGGAACCCACAGAAAGGUCUUUGUGCCCUUUGCUGCCUUUUGCCAAGGUACUUUCUGUGACUAGAUUUACCUUGCAUUUAUAUUCUCUUCUCUUUGGUAAUAUGUACAUAUGUGUGUGAGGUAUAUUUGGACCUGGGAUUAUGUGUGUGGUUAAAAAUAUACAUCAGUACGUUAGUGACCUGCAUAGGUGCAUUAAGCAAUGUAUUUUGAGAGCCAUGGGCUGGAAGGAAACACCCAACUAGCUACUUUGAGACACUAGCAAAGCCCAAAGUAAUUCUGUUAGAUGAGCGUAUGAGCUACUGUUUUAUAUGUUUGUUACAGAUUUUUUCUUCCUGUUUUCUCCUGGAUAUUAUGUGAAAACAAUGUAUGUAUUUAAACAAAAUUUUAAAUUUCAAUCUUAAGAAUUUCAGGGUUGGUUUGUUUGUUUGCUUUGAGAUGGAGUCUCAUUCUGUCACCCAGGCUGGAGUGCAGUGGUGCGAUCUCGGCUCACUGAAACCUUUGCCUCCCAGGUUCAAGUGAUUCUCCUGCCUCAGCCUCCCAAGUAGCUGGGACUACAGGCGCGCUCCAUCACGCCCAACUAAUUUUUUGUAUUUUUAGUAGAGAUGGGGUUCCACUGUGUUAGCCAGGCUGGUCUUGAUCUCCUGACCUUGUGAUCCGCCUGCCUUGGCCUCCCAAAGUGCUGGAAUUACAGUCGUGAGCCACCGCACCCAGCAAAUUUCAGGGUUUUUUUCAACCCAUGUUUAUUUUGAAAAAUUGAAAAUAUCAGGAAAAAUAAGAAGAUAAAAGUCUUCUGCAAUGCUAUCAUUCAAAUAAUUGCUGCUGUUCUUUAGGUAUUUGUAUGCUCUUCCAGACAUGUUCCUAAUGAGUAUAUAUUAAUGUAAAAUAAAAUAUCAAUGGCGAACAUUUGAGUGUUACCAUUUGCCAGCAUUUUGCAUGUAGGGACUCACUUCAUCCUCAACAAUUCAAUGAUUGGUUUUAUUAUUAAACUCAUUGUACAGAUGAGAAAGCCGAAGCCCAGAAUGAUUACCUUUCUUAAGAUCACAUAGGUAAGUAGCCAAGCCAGGAUUUGAACACAGGCAGUCUGGUUCCAGAGCCUGUGCUCUUAAGGCACUUGCUAUACUAACUUGCAAAAGAAUUCGGAGAAUACUAUCCAUACCAAUUUGUAACCCGUUGUUUUUCCCACUCAAAAUAUUAUGAACUCCCUUCCAUGCCAAUAACCUUAUAUCUAGAACAUCAUUUAAAAUGGCUCCGUUGUGAUGCAUACAUCCCCAAAAUGCAAUGCUGCAAUGCUGUUUCCCUUUGUGGCUGUUUUGGGUAAUAAUAACAAUUAAACUUAAAAAUAGCAAAUAUUGAGGUUCUGUGUCUGGUGCUGUCCUAAGACCUGUUUACAUCUCAUCUAAUUUAAUCCUUGUGAUAACUCAGGCUUCUUACAGGGGAAGAAGUUAGGGAAGAACAGGAAGAAAUUUGCCAUGACAUCUUCCUUACAUAAAACCUCAAGGUUAGAUUUUUGACAUCGUCUUCAAAUAAAAUUAUAUAUGUAAUAAUGUUUUUGUGUAUUUGUUAAUUUUUUUAAACUUCUUAUUUGGAAAUAAUUUGACUCACAGGAAGCUGCAAAAAUAGUACAGAGAAUUCCCGUGUUCCCUUCACCCAGCUUCCCCCAAUGAUAUCUUAAAUAACUAGUAUGCAUCAAAACCAGGAAAUCGACAUUAGCGUUUCCUGUUAGCUCAGGUUGUAUAUUUGUUACUAAUUUUUUUUUUUUUUUGAGAUGGAGUUUCGCUCUUGUUGCCCAGGCUGGAGUGCAAUGGUGCUAUCUCAGCUCACUGCAACCUCCGCCUCCCCGGUUCAAGCAAUUCUCCUGCCACAGCCUCCCAAGUAGCUGGGAUUAUAGGCACCCAUCAACACGCCUGGCUAAUUUUUUGUAUUUUUAGUAGAGAUGGGGGUUUUCAUCAUGUUGGUCAGGCUGGUCUCGAACUCCUGACCUCAGGAGAUCUGCCUGCCUUGGUCAUCCAAAGUGCUGAGAUUACAGGUGUGAGCCACCAUGCCUGGCCUAAAAUUUUUCUUUAAACACUUAAAAUACGUCACACUAUGAUAAUCUAACUUUUCUGUUCUUUGUUGUGAAGUAUACAGGAGCCUCUAAGUGGAAGUGGCUCAGGGCUCUCUCCUGGCCUUUGAGAGGUUAACACUAUUAUUUGCUCCAUUCAACCAGCAAGGGAUUGGAGGUCUAGGGAGGCUGUCACUUGCACAAGGUCACACAGCUGUAGUAAACUUCUGAGUUUGGACUUAGCCCCUCUGCUUCUAAAAUCCCCUCUCUGAACCUCAUACUCUCCAGCAUCUCUUCUAGUUUUUUGCUGUUCUUUGCUACUCAGGCUGAGGCCCCGAAUAUAAGUAGAUGUGUGUUAAUAAGUGUCUGUGCAUGCAUGUACAUAUACACAGACAUUUCCCCUGCUCUCUAGAGUCCCUUCUCCCAGACUGGAGAAUGCUGAACUGAAGAGGACCUCAGGUAUUGAGCACAUAAUCCUGACUCCUUAUUAAACGGGAUGGGAGGAUCAGGCCAGCUUGGGGACCAUCUGCUGUGUCCUGUGUGGCCUAUCCCCAAGGGCUCUGGGCCAUAUUCUCCUGUAAAUCCUCUGCCUUAUUCUCAUGGUUGCCUCUCCCCAACUCUCCUCCAGUUGCCCCUUUUGCCCAACUUCCAGCCACCUGGCUCUGCAUGCUGUCAGUUCCAUGCUUGGGUGGCAGUGGGUUUAGCCUGAGAUGCCUGGACUUCACUCUCGCAUUGCUUCUGUUAUCCUCCAGCCUCUGUGCCCCAUGGCCAGUGACUGAGACACGAGAAAAGGAGAAAAAGCCACAUGUAUAGGAAAGACCUAGGAGAAGAAAUUUCUCUAAAGUCCCCUCUAGAGGAAAAGAUAUUUUUACCUCCACCCCAGUCACUCCCUCUCUUUUGUUGCCUUCUCUUCCCCUUUUAUUCAUAGCUGUAGGUGCCAGCCCAAUCCACUUUUGUAACCCAAAAAGCAGACAAAGGCCUCUGCCCUUGCCUUCCCAGACACAGUCAUGGUCUCAUGAUCUGCCAACCUAAGCAGGGCUGGCAUGUGGGAUUUAAGUAGCUCUGUCCAAGCUUUUACAGGAGUCUGCGCUUGGAAUUGUCAGAGUGCAGAGCAGUGUUGUUCUAGAUCCCUACCACCCACUUCAGAAAAACCAGAUGUGCCUGCCACUCUAGGUUGACCUGACAGUUGUUUGCACGUGUGUGCAUGUGUAUGAGAGCAACUGACAGCGUAUGUGCGUACCUAGUGGCCUGUGUGGGCCUCCUGAACAUAGAACUAAGCACUCGCUUGCUGAGCCCUGUGGCUGCUUUUGGUAGAAAAGUGACCCCAGGGCCAGGAGCUGCACCUGGUAGAGACCAGGGUGGGAGAUUGAUGAGUUUGCAGGAGUGCUGCCUGGAAGGUCUGGGAGCGCUGGUCUGUGAGCUAAGCAGGGGUUGCUAAGCAGCAUCGCCACCCCUAACCUCAUGGCACGCUGGCUCCUGCCCUUGCCAUCCUCUGAAGCAGGUAGUAGGGCUACAUUUCCUAACAGGAAGCCCGUCAGGCUGAGAGAAGGGGAAAGAGAGAGGAGUAACUUGCUUUCCCCCUUGGACCUGAACUUCCUUAGCUCCUCAAAGCUUGGUCUGCUGUUGAGAUCUCUGGUGUGCAGGGGUGAACAGCUACCCUCCCUAAACAUGUGGUGGGUUAUAGAGAGAACAUUCCAGGACUACAGGUGACAGUCAGGUGCCUGCCAGAGAGGGGCUUUCCAAAGGACAGCUAAGUAAGGGAAAUCCUAUCUACCUUGUGAGUAUAUCUGGACUCUUUGCAUUUGUCACCACUUCUGUUACCACUACCUUGGCCCAAGCCACCAUUAUCUUUUGCCUAGAUUAUUGCGGUCAGUUCCUAACUGCUUCUACUGCUGACCUGCCAUUCUCAACAUGGCAGUCAGAAUGAUCCUUCUAAAGUAUUAUCAAGCCAGGCACUGUAGCUCAUGCCUCUAAUCUCAGCACUGUUGGAAGGCCAAGGUGGGAAAAUAGCUUGAACACAAAAAUUUAAGACCAGCCCGAACAACAUAGCGAGACCCUGUCUGUAAAAAAACUUUAAAAAAAUAAUCUAGGUGUGGUGGCACAUGCCUGUAGUCGUAGCUACUUGGGAGGCUGAGGUGGGAGGCUUGAGCCGGGGAGGUUGAGGUUGCAGUGAGCCAUGAUUGCACCACUGAACUCCAGCUUGGGUGACAGAGUGAGAACCUGUCUCAAAAAAAAAAAAAAAAAAAAAAAGGAUCAGUAGGUCCCGUCACUCUGCUCAAAAUCCUUCAAUGGCUGCACAUGCCACUCAGAAUAAAAGCCAGAGUCUUUAAAACGGCCUUAUGAAGCUCGGCCUAAACUGGCCUGUUGCUGCUUUGACCUCACGUCCUGUCACCUGCCCUUUGCUCAUUCUAUUUCAGUUGUACUGCCCUCCUUGUUGUUGCUACAACAUUCUAGACUUGUUACCUAGAAUAAUUUAUUUGUUGUUCCCUUUGCCUAGAAUACUUUCUCCCCUGCUACCUACAAGCCUUACUUUUACCUCUAUAUUAGGUCUUUGUUAAAGUGUCUCCACUCCAUCUAAAUUUUCAUUCCUUUCACUACAUUCCUUAUCCCGCUCCCCUUCAUUGCUUUCCUCCCGACCUCUUGUUGCCAUCUGACUUACUAGUAUUUUGCUUUUUUAUGUUGUGGUUUCUGUUUAAAAUGUAAGCUCCAUGGAGGCAGGGAUAUUUGUUUAUCUUCUUUACCGCUGUAUCCCUGGCAUUUAGGACAGUACCCUGUGCAUAGGAGAGGCUAAGACAUAUUUUCAAAUGAAUAAUAAAUAAGUCCAUAUUGGUGAAUCAUUUAAGAUUCAAUUUAGAAAUAAUGAACCUUCAAAUCCAUGAACAUGGUAAACCUCUACACUUGGCUAGAUCUUUAUUAAUCUUUUAGCCAUAGUUUGUAGUUUUCAGUGUACAAGCUAUGCAUAUUUCUGUUAAACUUAUAGAUAAGUAUUUUAAGUUUUUAAAAAUGCUAUCACAAAUGGUAUUUUAAAUUUCACAUUCCAGUUGUUUAUUGCUGAUCUGUAGAAAUGCAGUUUACUGUUGCAUAUUAUUUUGACUUUGUAUUCUGCAACUUUGCUAAAUUUACUUAUUAGUUCUGGUAAUUUUUUGGUAGAUUCCAUAGGAUUUUCUACAUAUACAAUAAUGUAGUCUCCAAAUGAGGAGUUUGACUUUUCUUCUAAUUUUUAUGAUUUUUAUUUCCUUCUGUGGUUUUAUUUCCCUGGCCUGGAAUCUAGUACAAUGUUGAAUAGAAGUGGUGAGAGUGGACAUUUUUGCCUUAUUCCUAUAUAUAGGCAAGUGCUUUCUCUCUCUCUCAUCUGUCUCUAUUUCUCUCUCUCUGCGUGUGUGUGUGUGUGUGUGUGUCCAUUACUCUUUAGCAAAUUUACAGUUGCCUGCACUUACCUAAGCCAAGCUCACAAAGGUUUUUCUCCUAUGUUUUUUUUCUAAAAGUGUGAUAAUCUUAAGUUUUAUAUUUGGGUCUAUGAUCCAUCUCCAGGAGGCAUUUUGGACACUGAUGAGGGCAUUGUUGUUUGUCAAAGUGACAGGGGAGGGGUUUAACCAGCAAUGGAUUGGCAGGAAUGCUAGAUGUACAAGAAAUACACCCACCAUAACAAAAAGCCUCAUGACUCAUAUGACCAUCAAAUGUCCUACCAAACAUUUAUAUAGGCAAAAUGUUUAUAAUUAUAUAGAUAUCUAUUUAGCUUUCAUUUCAAAAUACCAAAAAUUUUAAGGAAGAUUUUGACAAUAUUAAUAGAGUCUUUCCUUUCUUCUCUUAAAUCCAAAGUUUUUCCUUAAAAGCUCCUAUUUCAUUAUGUCUUUUAGUAUAUUUGUGCCUGUGAAUUUACAUAUUGAAUUAGAUAUUUUAUUAUAAACUCAUUUCCUUUCACUUCUUUAUAAUUCAAUUAUGGCAUUAAAUUAAUUUUUUAUCGUGUGUAGCUGGUUAUAUAUUAGCAACAUGAUGAGAUUAAAAACAUUGAGCUGAGUGAAAAAAGAUUGGAAUGACAUCUAUAAAAUACCACUUAUUAAAAUAUUAGCAUUUUAUAAUUAAAAGUUUUGGAAACCUACAUACAUAUUAACUAUACACAUCUUACAAGAACACGUAGGGAAAGAUGCACAUUACACACAUUAGGAUAGCUGCCUGAGGGAAGAAGAAAAUGGGAGUAGGGAAUGAGUUAGAACAGGAGAUAAUGACAUCACAGGAGAGCAGCCUUGCUCAGCCCAUCAAGGAGUAGACUUCAUCCCCUGCCCUGGAGCUCGGUUAAAAAAGAAAAUAUUUUGGCUAGGCACGGUGGCUCACUCCUGUAAUCCCAGCACUUUGGGAGGCUGAGGCGGGUGGAUCACGAGGUCAGGAGAUCGAGACCAUCCUGGCUAACAGUGAAACCCCGUGUCUACUAAAAAAUACAAAAAAUUAGUCGGGCGUGGUGGUGGGCGCCUGUAGUCCCAGCUACUUGGGAGGCUGAGGCAGGAGAAUGACGUGAACCUGGGAGGCGGAGCUUGCAGUGAGCUGAGAUCGCGC